AUGGGUUAUCUAGCCUGGAUUGGAUAUUUAUUUUAUAUGUUUUACAACUUAUUUUUUGUCACAAUUAAGGAUUAUAUUUAUUUUCUGCUUAGCAUCUAUGAAACUUUGCAAUGGUUGAAUAUAAGUAUGUAUCUCUUGAUUUCACUCAUUCCCACAUAUGCUGGAGCAUUAUUCUUCAUAACCCAAUUAUACUAUGCCCUAAAAAAAGGUGUGCAUCUAAUUUAUGGAAAAAAAGCAAAAGAUAAUGAAAUGGCCAUGAUAAUUUUAGCCAUAAAAGAGGAGAUGAUGCAACUAAAGAAAAUGAAGCAACUGACUGAAGAGAAACAAUGUGGCAAAGGUAUUAACACACAACAAGACAUACCUAAAAAUAACAAUGUAGUUCAGCAAGAAAAUACAGAUGGGGCUGAAAGUGGAAUACCAAUAUUGCCACUAAGAGAUCAAACAAGCCUACAACCAGAUAGUGGCAUAAUUCAUAUUAAAACACAUAAACCAUUUACAACAGCUGACCUUGAUAGUCUGAAAAAACAGAUGCCUUCCUGGUUUUCAGAACCGAUGAGAUGUUUAAAAGAAUUUAAAAGAGCAAUUAGACUUUAUGAUCCAGAUUUCCAGGACACUGAAAGUCUUCUCUCAGAAUUAUUUUCAAAAAGGGAAAAACAACAAUUCAUUGAUGAAACAAGAAACAAUCCAAAUUUAACAUCAUGGCCAGAGGAAGGAACAGACUUAGAGUUAUCUAAUAAUGAAAAUCUACGUUACCUAAGAAAGGCCAGAGAAGACUUAUUAGAGGCAAUGAAAAGUUUUUCAAAAAGACCAGAUACUUGGGGACUAUUUGAGAAAUUGAGACAGGAAAAUGGGGAACAUCCAUCAAAAUUCCUCGAUAGAGUGAUUGAAGUAGCAGAGGAUGCGCUUGGAUUUGAAAAUUUAACUGAACAAAAUCUCCAACACAUAAGGAGACAAUUUGUGAAAGGCAGUAACACACCUAUUAGAUCAUAUUUUAAACUUCAGUGCCCAGAUUGGGAAACACUAAGUCUGGAAGAUUUAAGAAAAACUGCAACUUACAUAUUUUCAGGUCAUAAAGAAAUGCUAGAGAAAAAGGAUUAA
RNAcentral lists this long non-coding RNA (1098 nucleotides) under Monodelphis domestica (gray short-tailed opossum). Its description in RNAcentral is "lncRNA (ENSMODG00000047568.1)". Lineage: Eukaryota; Metazoa; Chordata; Mammalia; Didelphimorphia; Didelphidae. The record is from RNAcentral.